AACUUUCAACAACGGAUCUCUUGGCUCUCGCAUCGAUGAAGAACGCAGCGAAAUGCGAUAAGUAAUGUGAAUUGCAGAUUUUCAGUGAAUCAUCGAAUCUUUGAACGCACCUUGCGCUCCUUGGUAUUCCGAGGAGCAUGCCUGUUUGAGUGUCA
This 155-nucleotide ribosomal RNA is filed under the name Amphinema sp. O48. RNAcentral describes it as "5.8S ribosomal RNA". It matches the Rfam family "5.8S ribosomal RNA". Rfam says of the family: 5.8S ribosomal RNA (5.8S rRNA) is a component of the large subunit of the eukaryotic ribosome. RNAcentral also lists the same sequence under 6 other names. The record is from RNAcentral. Lineage: Eukaryota; Fungi; Basidiomycota; Agaricomycetes; Atheliales; Atheliaceae.